RNAcentral lists this ribosomal RNA (245 nucleotides) under uncultured bacterium. RNAcentral's name for it is "partial 16S ribosomal RNA". It matches the Rfam family "Bacterial small subunit ribosomal RNA", at positions 524 to 768 of the family's 1533-position model. The record is from RNAcentral.
UACAGAGGCCUCGAGCGUUAGGCGGAAUCACUGGGCUUAAAGCGUGUGUAGGCGGACUUCUAAGUACCUUGUGAAAUCCCACGGCUCACCCGUGGAACUGCUCGGUAUACUGGUUGUCUUGAGCCAUCUAGGGGCGAGCGGAACAAAUGGUGGAGCGGUGAAAUGCGUAGAUAUCAUUUGGAACGCCAAUGGUGAAAACAGCUCGCUGGGGAUGUGCUGACGCUGAGACACGAAAGCCAGGGGAG